RNAcentral lists this ribosomal RNA (421 nucleotides) under uncultured bacterium. RNAcentral describes it as "partial 16S ribosomal RNA". It matches the Rfam family "Bacterial small subunit ribosomal RNA", at positions 360 to 773 of the family's 1533-position model. The record is from RNAcentral.
AAUUUUGGACAAUGGGGGCAACCCUGAUCCAGCCAUCCCGCGUGUGCUAUUAAGGCCUUUGUGAUGUAAAGCACCUUUUGCAGGGGAGAAAAGGCUCUGGCUAAUCUCUGUAGUUGCUGACGGUACCUGACGAAUAAGCACCGGCUAACUACGUUCCAGCAGCCGCGGUAAUACGUAGGGUGCAAGCGUUAAUCGGAAUUACUGGGCGUAAAGCGUGCGCAGGCGGUUCGGCAAGAAGGAUGUGAAAUCCCAGGGCUUAACCUUGGAACUGCAUUCUUAACUGCCGGGCUAGAGUAUAUCAGAGGGAGGUAGAAUUCCGCGUGUAGCAGUGAAAUGCGUAGAGAUGCGGAGGAAUACCGAUGGCGAAGGCAGCCCCCUGGGAUAAUACUGACGCUCAUGCACGAAAGCGUGGGGAGCAAAC